RNAcentral lists this ribosomal RNA (1439 nucleotides) under uncultured bacterium. RNAcentral describes it as "bacterial SSU rRNA". It matches the Rfam family "Bacterial small subunit ribosomal RNA". The record is from RNAcentral.
UAGAGUUUGAUCCUGGCUCAGAACGUACGCUGGCGGCACGCCUAACACAUGCAAGUCGAACGAAGUAGCAAUACUUAGUGGCAGACGGGUGAGUAACAUGUAGGUAUCUGCCCUUUGGCCUGGAAUAACACGAGGAAACUUGUGCUAAUACCGGAUAAGUCUUUACGGAGAAAGCUUUAUGCACCAUUGGAUAAGCCUGCACUUGAUUAGUUUGUUGGUGGGGUAAUGGCCUACCAAGACUGUGAUCAAUAGCUGAUUUGAGAGGAUGAUCAGCCACAUUGGGACUGAGACACGGCCCAAACUCCUACGGGAGGCAGCAGUGGGGAAUCUUGCACAAUGGAGGAAACUCUGAUGCAGCGAUGCCGCGUGAGUGAAGAAGGCCCUUGGGUUGUAAAGCUCUUUCGUCGGGGAAGAAAAUGACUGUACCCGAAUAAGAAGGUCCGGCUAACUUCGUGCCAGCAGCCGCGGUAAUACGAAGGGACCUAGCGUAGUUCGGAAUUACUGGGCUUAAAGAGUUCGUAGGUGGUUGAAAAAGUUGGUGGUGAAAUCCCAGAGCUUAACUCUGGAACUGCCAUCAAAACUUUUCAGCUAGAGUAUGAUAGAGGAAAGCAGAAUUUCUAGUGUAGAGGUGAAAUUCGUAGAUAUUAGAAAGAAUACCAAUUGCGAAGGCAGCUUUCUGGAUCAUUACUGACACUGAGGAACGAAAGCAUGGGGUAGCGAAGAGGAUUAGAUACCCUCGUAGUCCAUGCCGUAAACGAUGUGUGUUAGACGUUGGAAAUUUAUUUUCAGUGUCGCAGCGAAAGCGAUAAACACACCGCCUGGGGAGUACGACCGCAAGGUUAAAACUCAAAUGAAUUGACGGGGACCCGCACAAGUAGUGGAGCAUGUGGUUUAAUUCGAAGAUACGCGCAGAACCUUACCAACACUUGACAUGUUCGUCGCGACUUUAAGAGAUUAAAGUUUUCGGUUCGGCCGGACGAAACACAGGUGCUGCAUGGCUGUCGUCAGCUCGUGUCGUGAGAUGUUGGGUUAAGUCCCGCAACGAGCGCAACCCUCACUUUUAGUUGCCAUCAUUAAGUUGGGCACUCUGAAAGAACUGCCAGUGAUAAGCUGGAGGAAGGUGGGGAUGACGUCAAGUCCUCAUGGCCCUUACGUGUUGGGCUACACACGUGCUACAAUGGUAUCUACAACAGGAAGCAAGACUGCGAAGUUAAGCAAAUCCUUAAAAGAUACCUCAGUUCGGAUUGCACUCUGCAACUCGAGUGCAUGAAGCUGGAAUUACUAGUAAUCGUGGAUCAGCGUGCCACGGUGAAUGCGUUCCCGGGUCUUGUACACACCGCCCGUCACACCAUGGGAGUUGGUUCUACCUUAAGGCAAGGUUUAAAACCCUUGACCACGGUAUAGUCAGCGACUGGGGUGAAGUCGUAACAAGGUAACCA